This 241-nucleotide ribosomal RNA is filed under the name uncultured bacterium. RNAcentral describes it as "partial 16S ribosomal RNA". It matches the Rfam family "Bacterial small subunit ribosomal RNA", at positions 15 to 245 of the family's 1533-position model. The record is from RNAcentral.
GAUCAUGGCUCAGGAUGAACGCUAGCUACAGGCUUAACACAUGCAAGUCGAGGGGCAGCAUUUCAGUUUGCUUGCAAACUGGAGAUGGCGACCGGCGCACGGGUGAGUAACACGUAUCCAACCUGCCGAUAACUCGGGGAUAGCCUUUCGAAAGAAAGAUUAAAUACCCGAUGGUAUAAUCAGACCGCAUGGUCUUGUUAUUAAAGAAUUUCGGUUAUCGAUGGGGAUGCGUUCCAUUAGG